AUCUUGAUUCUAUGUUUUUUAUGAUAUGCCACCGUCUUAAUAAUUGUGGUCCUUAUAAAAUUGUGAUAACGAAUAAGACUUAAUAUAUAUUUGUUUUUAUUUUUUUUAUAGAGCAGUUCCUUAGCUUAUGUCCAUAUGGCCCAUGAUAUUGAUACUCUGUUUGAUCUUGACACCCUCACCUUUAUUUUAUUUUAUUUUGACAAAAAUGUCUUUAACGGAAACCAUCAUAUAAAAUUAAACAACGAAAUUUACGGAAACUAAUUUUACAAAAAGCUAAGGAAGUAGAGGGUGAGAAGAAGAAGAAAAUGUUUUUUAGACAUGAGCCUGUCCAUAUGGGUUACAUUUUCAGCCCACAUCCCACAAUAGCACGCAGCCGGUAUACCAAUUACCCCGAGUGCAUCCCCCAAUUUUAGAAUCAAACAAACCUCAGUCCAAGAACCUUGUGCCUUCAGAAACCCUGACGUUGAUUCAAAUUGUUUGUUCGCACUUCAAUCUUCAAGUGAUAAGUACACUCUUCUCUCCCCAUUCACUCGCAUUGGCUUUCAUUGUUGUCAAAUUCAGAUUAGGUUUCCCUUUCUCUCCCUCUUUUGUUAUCUUAUCGAUUUUGGUUCAUGCCCUGUAGUUUUCUUUCUUUAUUUCUUUGUUUCUUUCUUCAUGUAAUCCUGCAGCAAGAAUUUUGUUUCUGUACUUUAUUUUCCACCAAUUAAAACAUACAAUUUUCUCUGGUGCAUCUACUCUGAACACCGAACACCUUACUAAGCACUACAGGUAGCCUGAGCCGUAUUUUUUUUAAUUCAAGUGAAAGAGGAAGCAAAAAAAUGUGAGCGCUCCUGCACUAUACGGCUUUUUGGCGUCGCCCUAUCUGGAGGCAGAUUUUCUAAAAAAAGCGGUUGAUUACUCGGAUUGGUUCUCACGUCCCUAUGCCCAAAAGGAUGGAUGAGUUCGGUUCAAGUCUUCAUCGAUCGGGUGGAUCUAUAUGCUGAGGGGGUGAGACGAGGUGUAGCGCAGUCUGGUCAGCGCAUCUGUUUUGGGUACAGAGGGCCAUAGGUUCGAAUCCUGUCACCUUGAUGUGAAGGGCUGAAGUGCACAGCCUAAAGAGCACCCAUCCCCCCGUAAACUUUCGCUCUUAGAAAGAGAAAGCCAAAUGCGCUAUACAUGUUUAGCAAACUUCUUCUUCACACAUGCUGGUUUUUUCUUUCUCUUUUAAACUUGAGUCUGUCUAUUAUUGUAUAAGCACUUAGAUAUCAUAUAAUUUAUUUUUAUAAUUGAAGAAUUCAGUUUAAACUAUUUUCACAUAAGAUAUGUAUAAGCACUUAGAUAUCAUAUAAUUUAUUUUUAUAAUUGAAAUUGAAGAAAUCAGUUUAAACUAUUUUCACAUAAGAUAUAAGUUGUUUUCAUCAUUUAUCCUAGAAAGCUUAUUGAAAUAAGGAGAAAACAACUUACGGACAUACCAUAAGCUAUUUUCAUAAGUUUUUGCAACUUACAGAAGGGCUGAUAAGCCCAAGUAAACUUUAAAUAAGCUCUUCUAAACAUACCUUAAUUUGAUCAUUGCUUAGGAAUGUGAAUGCGUUGUUCUAGCUUGAAUAUAUUUAAAAUGCUGAGAAAUGUGAUUAUUUUAGUAGGGAUCCAAGUUCUCAUAUCUAUAGAUUCUAUGUCUUUGCAGUUCCCAUUUUUGAAUUUAGGUGAUAAAGAAUUUAUUCAUUUGAGUUGCACAGUUUUACCAGUACCAACAGUCCAACACCAUCAGGCCCUACUAACCUGGAAGUACGAGCCAAGGACUUAACGCGGGAGUUACAAUGAAUGGGGUAAGCAGCCAGCCAGUUUCCCAAGUGAAUUAGGGUUUUGAAUUGAAUUGAUUUGAUUUCGACAUCAAAGGGAACAGGGAUGAGGUAUAGAAGAACCCAUAGAAUAGCAGUGGAAGGGUGUUUGUGUUUGUGUCGCUCAUGGCAUUCAUCAUCGAAAUGGCGGAGGAGGAAUACAGUGAACAGCGAGACAUUGUCGAGAUGUCCAUCUGAUUUGAUUGCCUUCUCCCUUUUCCUUUGGUCAGCCCAACGUCGCCGCCACGACUCAUUCGCCUUCGAUCGCAUAGUGACUGUGCUCCGUCGGCUCACUCACCGCUACGACACCGUUCCAGCCAUUCUCUCUCACUUGGAGACCAUCGGCUGUGCCUCUCUCACAAACCCUGUAUCUCAGUUGGUGCUGUUGAGGAUUUACUCGCGUGCAGGUAUGUAUGCGAUGCUCUUGGAGGCUUAUCACCACUUGCAAGCCUCUUACGCUUUUGUCCCCGAUACCUUUGCUCGUAAUUUGGUCAUGGACGCUCUCUUUAGGGUCGGCCACUCCCAUCUCGCUCUCACCCUCACUCUCUCUCUCUUCAACCACACUCAUCCCCCUAAUUUCUUCACCUUCCACAUUUUGCUCCUCCAUCUUUCCAAACUAAACAACAACAAUCUCAAUCUCAACCUCCCUCACAUCGCUCGUAUGCUCAGACUUAUGCUCUGGGCCGGUUAUUCUCCCUCUCCUCUCACUUUUCAGAUGCUUCUCAAUUCUCUUUGCAAGAUUAAUGCAUUCCCACAGGCUUAUCAGCUCCUCGCUCUCAUGACGGUUCUCGGGAUCAAUUUCUCUGUCAAUAUUUGGACCAUUCUCAUCCAUAACUAUUGUAAAUUCGGCCGCCUUCGUCUUGCUAACAACCUCUUCCACAAUAUGCUUCAAACUGGUUGUUCUCCUAAUGUUGUGACAUAUACCAUCUUAUUUAAGGCUUUUAUGCAAUCCAACAUGCCAAGCCCUGCUUUUCGAUUGUUUAAUGUCAUGUUAUCUUCUGGCCAAUCUCCGGAUUUAAUUCUUUGUAAUGUAUUAAUUGAUUGUCUUUCAAAGGCUGGAAGGUGCCAGGAUGCAAUUCAAGUUUUUCUCAGUUUGUCAGAGCGAAACUUAAAGCCUGAUUCUUAUACCUUUGCUUCAUUGUUAUCUACAAUCUGUCGUUCCAAAAUGUUUUAUCUCUUACCUAAACUAGUUCUAGUCUCUAGACAUGUAGAUGCUGAUUUAGUGUUCUGUAAUGCUCUUUUAAGCUCUCUUACUAAGGCCGACCUUCCUUCUCUUGCUGUUGGAUUCUAUGACCAUAUGAUUGAUGAAGGUUUUGUGCCAGAUAAAUAUACUUUUGCUGGAUUACUAAGUGCACUCUGUUGUGCGGGAAGAGUUGAUAAAGCAGUUAAUGUGUACCAUGGUGUUGUAAUGAGUUAUCAUGACAUUGAUGCUCACAUCCAUACUGUAAUAAUAGUUGGUCUUCUAAAGACCGGAAAGUUUCACAAGGCUGUCAGUGUUUUAAGAUUUGCAGUAAUGAAUAAAUAUCCACUGGACACUGUAGCAUACACAGUUGGCAUCUGUGCACUUCUUAGAGGUAGAAGAACUCAAGAGGCUUGCACAUUGUAUGACCAGAUGAAGAACGAUGGUCUGAAACCUAGUGUUCAUACCUAUAAUAUGAUGCUGUUCACUUUUUGUAAAGAAAGGGAUCUCCAGAUGAUAAAACAGAUACUGCAAGAGAUGAUUGAUUCAAGGAUAUAUUUGAGUGGCAGAAAUUUCUCCAACUUGUGUAAAUAUAUGUGUAGAUCAGAUACUCAUCUUUCUCUUUUAAAAUUGUUGGCUGAGAUAAGAGAUUUGAGGUUAUUAUCUGCCAAGGCAUUGCAUUUCUUAAACUUUGACAGGCAUGCUGAUGGUGUACAAGCAAAACAUAAACAUCAGGCAGAAGAUAAUACAGAGUGGAACCUAAUUUUGGAUACAUCCAGUUCUGAAGAUCUGUCAGAUGUAGCUGCUUCAGUUGAUGUUGCAAGCGAUACCUUUGGUAUUACAAUCUUCAUUGGCGUCGGUCUCUUUCAGUGGAGACACCUUUGCCUUCUGGUAUGUUAGACUUGAGGGUUUAGUGGAUGGUGAUGCUGAUCAAUGCAGGCAGCAAUCUGAAGAAUGGUAGUAAAGGGUUGGUGAAGGCUGGUUUGUAAACAGAAUUCACACCUUGGUAUGGACGUGCCAUUGGAAGACCAAAGGAGGAGAGUACAAAGGCAGUUGGUGAUCCAAUAUGUUAAACAUCGUGCUGUUCUUGGUGCCAAAUAUCAUCGCAUAGAUUGGACAUCCAUUUCUGAUCUUCCAGCUUCUCCAAUCGCUUGUAUGAGAAGAAUGAAUUCAUUGAAUAGUAACAUGAGAUUUAGGAAAGCCGUGAAUAAACUCUGUAACAUGCUCAGUGAAUGAUAUGCAAAGCAACUGGAAAAGUCCCAGUACUCGUCAUUAAACAAUGAUUGCAAACAGUUUGUGCGAUCCCAGUCCUGUGAAGGUAUCCUCAAUAAUUCUAGUCCUGAUGCUGAAAUUCAAAUUACAAGUCUAAACAAAGAAGCUUGGGAUGACUUUGAGAACAAAAAUAUCAAGAUGGCCCUUGAUGAGAUUCUUCGCUGUAAGAUGAUGGCUAAGCUGGGUGCCUCCUCCCAAAAAGGUCAAUUGCAAUAUGAUGGGUGGUCAGAUGCAAAUGCGAAUGCUAAUGGACUUGAAUCUCAAGAAAAUGAAGAAAUUACAUCAGCUAUUCCUUGUGAUAAUAUUCAGAGUCAUGGGAAGCCCCAUACAUUUUCCGCCCAAAGAUCACGUCGGCGGCGGCUUGAUAAAAAUUUUACUAGGUUUCUGAAUAAUAUGGUUAAUGUUUAUGGACAAGUAAAUGAAUCAUUGGCUAUUUCAAAUGUUGUAGAGCUAUUUAAACUUGUUUUUUUAAGCACCUCAACCGAUCCUCAGGCACCCAAAUUACCAGAUGACAUUCUUCGGCGAUACUCACAGCAUGAUCUAUUUGCUGCUUUUAACUAUCUUUAAGAGAAAAAAGUUAUGGUUGGGGGCACUGGCAAUGAACGUUUUGAACUAUCACAACAUUUCUUGCAGAGUGUUUCCAAGUCACCAUUUCCAUUUAAUACUGGAAAGCAAGCUGUUAAAUUUUCUGCAUGGCUGGAGGAAAGAGGCAAAGACCUCACAGAAGUGGGCGCUAAUCUUGCUGAAGAUCUACAAUGUGGGGACAUUUUUCAUUUGCUUGCUUUAGUCUCAUCGGGUGAACUUUCAAUUUCUCCAUUCCUACCAGAUAAUGGUGUUGGAGAGGCUGAGGACUUGAGAAGUGCAAAGCGUAAAUAUGAUACUACCGAGUCUUCAUAUAGUGAUAAAGCCAAAAAGUCAAAAUCCUUCUUUGGAGUAGAAGGUGAAAUUAUUUCUCGUCGGGAAAAAGGUUUUCCUGGUAUCAUCAUUUCUGCACACUAAACAACAAUUUCAAGAGCUGAUAUUUUAAAUUUGUUGAAGGAUAAUGAUAACUGUGGCCAACCUUUUGACGAAGAUUUCCAAUUAAACAUUGACCAAAGCUGUAAUUAUUCACUUCCUGACCAUAUCUUGGAAAUCACUAAAUCUUCUGACCCUGUACCUCUGGAAGAAAAUCAUAGUGAAUCACCCUGGGAAGCUAUGGCAGGCUAGGCACGACAUUUGUUGUCAGAAUAUUCCAAUAAAAAACAUGCAUAUGCAAUUUGUGCUGAGGUCUUCAGAGUUGUUUAUGCUGCCAUCCAAAAGGCUGGUGACCAAGGAUUAAGCAUGGGAGAAAUUUCCCAGGUUAUUAACUUGCCAGGAGCAGAGAUAGAUGUCUUGAUUGUUGAUGCUCUUCAAGCAUUUGGGCAAGCCUUAAAGGUUAAUGCUUAUGAUACUGUCCGUGUUGUUGAUGUCUUAUACCGUCACAAGUACUUUUUGACACCUAUGUCUGAUUUUCAUCUUCGUGUUGUACAACCUUCCUCAUCAAAAACCAUCGAGAAAAGUGAUCAUACAUGUGAGCUUUAUGAAUCGGAGGAAAGGGAUACUACUUCUGUUGAUACUUCGAGGUAAAGAAACGCCGCUAUUGAUAGCGUGCAGACAUUGACAAUUCUCAAUCUUCCACAUGGGGAUGUGGAUCCUGAAAAUCAAGCUUGUGAUAAGAAUGAAGGCUGUAAGCAAAACAGACUUGGCUUAUCCAGAGUCAAUCAUAAGAAAGAAACUCUCGAAUUUUCUUCUGGUAAAUCAUGUGUGCCAAUAUUGCCAUGGGUCAAUGGAGAUGGGAUCAUCAACAACAUUGUUUACAGGGUACUCAGACGUCGUGUUCUUGGAAUAGUGAUGCAAAACCCUGGGAUAUUGGAGGAUGGUAUUCUACAUCAUAUGCACGUGUUGAAUCCACAGAACUGUAGAACUCUCUUGGAAUUGAUGGUUCUGGAUAAACACCUAAUUGUGAAGAAGAUGCAUCAAAAUAUGUUAGAUGGGGGACCCUCCUUACUUCCGGAACUUAUCGGAAGCAAAUCCAGUCAACCGAAGUUGAUAUGCCGAGAGCAUUUCUUCGCCAAUCCCAUGAGUACUUCCUUGUUGUAGGGAAUCUGUGGUAUUGACAUUAGACAUUAGUACUUGUUAUAUAAAAAACAUAUUUAUAGGAAAUUUUGGAUACUGGUUUAAGUUAUAUUUGGAAGAAUUGUAACUUAGGCAAUCCUAGUAAAUAUGUUUCAGGCUAGGAACUUAGGAUUUUGGAUAUUUGACAAGUUUGGUUGCUACAAUCCUACUUGAGUAUAGCAGGUUGGUAAACACAUCAUUCAGAUUUUUUCUUA
This is an RNA transcript of Glycine soja, 6617 nucleotides long. It is a transcript of the gene named putative pentatricopeptide repeat-containing protein At1g16830, with no coding region annotated. The record is from RefSeq and is a predicted model, not a curated record. Lineage: Eukaryota; Viridiplantae; Streptophyta; Magnoliopsida; Fabales; Fabaceae. The transcript has 11 exons.